Molecule: non-coding RNA, 195 nt
Organism: Yokenella regensburgei ATCC 43003
Lineage: Bacteria; Pseudomonadati; Pseudomonadota; Gammaproteobacteria; Enterobacterales; Enterobacteriaceae
Source: Rfam
CACCGACAUCAGGGAUUCGUUCUGCGAACCGUUCCCUACCGCCAGAUAAGAGUGCAUACCCAGCUCUUUCAUCUGCUGCUCGCCAAUCACGCGGGUGACGACGUUUUUGCUGUAAGCAUCGGCCAGCUGACGCGCCUGGGAAGCCAGGUACGCGGCGUUACAGAUGUUCGGCGGCAUAUUGCCGAGAUCUUUCGC